UCCUGGUUGAUCCUGCCAGUAGUCAUAUGCUUGUCUCCAAAGACUAAGCCAUGCAUGUCUAAGUAUAAACAAUUAUACAGUGAAACUGCGAACUGACAUUAAAUCGGUUAUCGUUUGUUGAUAGUUUUCUACAUGGAUAACCGUGAUAACUAGAACUUUAAUACAUGACGGCCUUCUGGCGUAUAUAUUAGAUACAAACCAACAGUAUGGUGAUUCAAAUAUCUUGUCGAACCGAUCUUCGGUGUAUCAUUCAAAUUCUGCCCUAUCAACUGUCCGAUGGUAGGAUCGUGGCCUACCAUGGUAACAACGGGUAACGGGGAAUCAGGGUUCUAUUCCGGAGAGGGGAACUGAGAAACGGCUACAUCAAGGAAGGCAGCAGGCGCGCAAAUUACCCAAUCCUGACACAGGGAGGUAGUGACAAUAUAUAACGAUCCGGGAGCUCUUUGAGUUUCAGGUGGAAUGAAGUACAAUUAAACACCUUAACGAGGAACAAUUGGAGGAGCAAGUCUGGUGCCAGCAGCCGCGGUAAUUCCAACUCCAAUAGCGUAUAUUAAUGUUGUUGCAGUUAAAAGCUCGUAGUUGAAAUUGGGCGGAGCUAUUAGUUUAGGCCGCUUCGGGAAGAACUUCUUUAGUUACUUUGAAAAAAUUAGAGUGUUCAACGCAGGGUUUCGCCUGAAUAUAUUAGCAUGGAAUAACAUAACACGACGAGGGUCCAUUUUGUUGGCUUGCAAACCCGUAAUGAUUAAUAGGGACAGUCAGGGGCGUCAGUAUUGUGUUGUCAGGAGGUGAAAUUCUUGGUUUACAAGUUAACUACUGCGAGCAUUCGCCAGGAUAUAUUCAUUAAUCAAGAACGAAAGUUAAGGAUCAAAGAUGAUCGAAUACCGUCGUAGUCUUAACCGUAAACUAUGCCGACUGAGAAUGGGUACCGCUUAUACGGUAUCCGCGCUCUGAAAUCAAGUGAUCAGGUUCUGGGGAGUAUGGUCGCAAGGCUGGAAACUUAAAGGAAUUGACGGAAGGGCACCACCAGGAGUGGAGCCUGCGGCUUAAUUUGACUCAACACGGGGAAACUCACCAGGUCAGACACAAUAAGGAUUGACAGAUUGAUGGCUCUUUCUUGAUUUUUGUGGGUGGUGGUGCAUGGCCGUUUCUUAGUUGGUGGAGUGAUUUGUCUGGCAAUUGCGAUAACGAACGAGACCUUGACCUACUAAAUAGCUCUACUUGCGAUUGCGGGUAGCUGGCUUCUUGGGGACUAUCUAUUAUGAGUAGAUGGAGUUCGAGGCAAUAACAGGUCUGUGGUGAUGCCCUUAGACGUUCUAGACGCACGCGCGCUUACACUGACGGAAUAGCGAGUCGACCAGAAAGCCCGAGAGGGCUGGAAGUAAUCUUGUGAAACUCCGUCGUGCGCUGGGGAUGAGAGCAUUGCAAUUAUUAUCUUCAACGGGAGUCCUAGUAGCGCAAGUCAUCAGCUUGCGUUGAUUACGUCCUGCCCUUUGGCCACACCGCCCGUCGCUACUACCGAUUGAAUGGUUUGAGUGAGGACCUUGGGGCGAGAUGGGGGCAACCCGCGCACGAACAUCAAACUUGGUCAGAGCGAUUGAAGUAAAAGUCGUAACAAAGGUUUCCGUAGGUGAACCUGCGGAAGGAUCGUAU
Molecule: ribosomal RNA, 1650 nt
Filed under: Yarrowia lipolytica
Lineage: Eukaryota; Fungi; Ascomycota; Dipodascomycetes; Dipodascales
Description: SSU rRNA
Rfam family: Eukaryotic small subunit ribosomal RNA
Source: RNAcentral